This 936-nucleotide ribosomal RNA is filed under the name uncultured bacterium. RNAcentral's name for it is "bacterial SSU rRNA". It matches the Rfam family "Bacterial small subunit ribosomal RNA", at positions 8 to 916 of the family's 1533-position model. The record is from RNAcentral.
AGAGUUUGAUCCUGGCUCAGAACGAACGCUGGCGGCGUGCCUAACACAUGCAAGUCGAGCGCGAAAGGGGGGGCAACUCCCCGAGUAGAGCGGCGCACGGGUGAGUAACGCGUGGGUAACCUACCUUCGGGCGGGGGAUAACCACUCGAAAGGGUGGCUAAUACCGCAUGAGACCACGGGGUCCUCGGGCCCCGGGGCCAAAGGCGGCACCGGCUUGCCGGUGCUGUCACCUGAAGAUGGGCCCGCGUACGAUUAGCUAGUUGGUAGGGUAACGGCCUACCAAGGCUGCGAUCGUUAGCUGGUCUGAGAGGAUGGCCAGCCACACUGGAACUGGAACACGGUCCAGACUCCUACGGGAGGCAGCAGUGAGGAAUAUUGCGCAAUGGGGGAAACCCUGACGCAGCAACGCCGCGUGGGUGAAGAAGGCCUUCGGGUCGUAAAGCCCUUUCGGACGGGACGAACGCUCCGCGGGGAUAAUCCGCGGAGUCUGACGGUACCGUAGGAAGAAGCACCGGCUAACUCCGUGCCAGCAGCCGCGGUAAUACGGAGGGUGCAAGCGUUGUUCGGAAUUACUGGGCGUAAAGCGCGUGUAGGCGGCCUUGUAAGUCAGAUGUGAAAGCCCCCGGCUUAACCGGGGAAGUGCAUCUGAAACUGCUUGGCUUGAGUACGGGAGAGGGAGGCGGAAUUCCCAGUGUAGAGGUGAAAUUCGUAGAUAUUGGGAGGAACACCGGUGGCGAAAGCGGCCUCCUGGACCGAUACUGACGCUGAGACGCGAAAGCGUGGGGAGCAAACAGGAUUAGAUACCCUGGUAGUCCACGCUGUAAACGAUGGGCACUAGGUGUGGGGGGUAUCCACUCCUCCCGUGCCGCAGCUAACGCAUUAAGUGCCCCGCCUGGGGAGUACGGCCGCAAGGCUAAAACUCAAAGGAAUUGACGG